UACGAAGGGGGCUAGCGUUGCUCGGAAUUACUGGGCGUAAAGCGCACGUAGGCGGAUUGUUAAGUCGGGGGUGAAAUCCUGGAGCUCAACUCCAGAACUGCCUUCGAUACUGGCGAUCUCGAGUUCGGGAGAGGUGAGUGGAACUGCGAGUGUAGAGGUGAAAUUCGUAGAUAUUCGCAAGAACACCAGUGGCGAAGGCGGCUCACUGGCCCGAUACUGACGCUGAGGUGCGAAAGCGUGGGAGCAACAGG
This 251-nucleotide ribosomal RNA is filed under the name uncultured bacterium. RNAcentral describes it as "partial 16S ribosomal RNA". It matches the Rfam family "Bacterial small subunit ribosomal RNA", at positions 524 to 776 of the family's 1533-position model. The record is from RNAcentral.